UGGGGAAUUUUGGACAAUGGGCGAAAGCCUGAUCCAGCAAUGCCGCGUGUGUGAAGAAGGCCUUCGGGUUGUAAAGCACUUUUGUCCGGAAAGAAAUGGCUCUGGUUAAUACCUGGGGUCGAUGACGGUACCGGAAGAAUAAGGACCGGCUAACUACGUGCCAGCAGCCGCGGUAAUACGCAGGGUCCAAGCGUUAAUCGGAAUUACUGGGCGUAAAGCGUGCGCAGGCGGUUGUGCAAGACCGAUGUGAAAUCCCCGAGCUUAACUUGGGAAUUGCAUUGGUGACUGCACGGCUAGAGUGUGACAGAGGGGGGUAGAAUUCCACGUGUAGCAGUGAAAUGCGUAGAGAUGUGGAAGAAUACCGAUGGCGAAGGCAGCCCCCUGGGAUGACACUGACGCUCAUGCGCGAAAGCGUGGGGAGCAAACAGG
This 429-nucleotide ribosomal RNA is filed under the name Acidobacteriota bacterium. RNAcentral describes it as "Acidobacteria bacterium partial 16S ribosomal RNA". It matches the Rfam family "Bacterial small subunit ribosomal RNA", at positions 355 to 776 of the family's 1533-position model. Lineage: Bacteria; Pseudomonadati; Acidobacteriota. The record is from RNAcentral.